GAUGAACGCUGGCGGCGUGCCUAAUACAUGCAAGUCGAGCGAACGGACGAGAAGCUUGCUUUUCUGAUGUUAGCGGCGGACGGGUGAGUAACACGUGGAUAACCUACCUAUAAGACUGGGAUAACUUCGGGAAACCGGAGCUAAUACCGGAUUAUAUUUUGAACCGCAUGGUUCAAAAGUGAAAGACGGUCUUGCUGUCACUUAUCGAUGGAUCCGCGCUGCAUUAGCUAGUUGGUAAGGUAACGGCUUACCAAGGCAACGAUGCAUAGCCGACCUGAGAGGGUGAUCGGCCACACUGGAACUGAGACACGGUCCAGACUCCUACGGGAGGCAGCAGUAGGGAAUCUUCCGCAAUGGGCGAAAGCCUGACGGAGCAACGCCGCGUGAGUGAUGAAGGUCUUCGGAUCGUAAAACUCUGUUAUUAGGGAAGAACAUAUGUGUAAGUAACUGUGCACAUCUUGACGGUACCUAAUCAGAAAGCCACGGCUAACUACGUG
Molecule: ribosomal RNA, 497 nt
Filed under: uncultured bacterium
Lineage: Bacteria
Description: partial 16S ribosomal RNA
Rfam family: Bacterial small subunit ribosomal RNA
Source: RNAcentral